AAGGCUGAGCAUGGCUCAGCCUCACAAAGAGGCCUCCCAGUGAGCCAGGCCAAGGAGACGGAUCACCCCACCAGUGCUGGCCUUACGAGUGCCGAAGCCCUGAAGGAUGGCUUUGGAAAGAUCCGAGCUGCACUGAGAAUGUUGGCUCAAAGGAACUUAGAGCGGAUGCCAAUGGAGCUUUUGGAGAAAGAGAUCAAGACAGAGAGAGAAAAGGAAACGUCCUUGCAGCUGCCUCCACAGACAGUUGACCCCGGGGAUGCAGCUGCAGCAAGCUUUAGCCUACCGCCUGUCAAUGGCACAGCUUCCAGUGUGCCGAGGAAACACCCUGGUAGUGCCUUGAAGAAGAAGGUCUUG
This is a long non-coding RNA of Corvus hawaiiensis (hawaiian crow), 354 nucleotides long. RefSeq lists it as uncharacterized. Lineage: Eukaryota; Metazoa; Chordata; Aves; Passeriformes; Corvidae. The transcript is spliced from 4 exons. The record is from RefSeq and is a predicted model, not a curated record.